GGGGAAUUUUCCGCAAUGGGCGCAAGCUUGACGGAGCAAUGUCGCGUGGAGGAAGAAGGCUCGUGGGUUGUCAACUCCUUUUGUCAAAGAAGAAAAAAUGACGUUAUUUGACGAAUAAGCAUCGGCUAACUCCGUGCCAGCAGCCGCGGUAAUACGGAGGNNNCAAGCGUUAUCCGGAAUGAUUGGGCGUAAAGCGUCCGCAGGUGGCGAUGUAAGUCUGCUGUUAAAGAGUCUAGCUCAACUAUAUAAGAGCAGUGAAAACUACAUAGCUAGAGUACGUUCGGGGCAGAGGGAAUUCCUGGUGUAUCGNUGAAAUGCGUAUAGAUCAGGAAGAACACCANNNGCGAAANNNCUCUGCUAGGCCGUAACUGACNNNGNGGGACGAAAGCUAUGNNNNNGAAUGGGA
This 406-nucleotide ribosomal RNA is filed under the name uncultured cyanobacterium. RNAcentral's name for it is "partial 16S ribosomal RNA". It matches the Rfam family "Bacterial small subunit ribosomal RNA", at positions 356 to 777 of the family's 1533-position model. The record is from RNAcentral. Lineage: Bacteria; Bacillati; Cyanobacteriota.